UACGUAGGGGGCGAGCGUUAAUCGGAAUUACUGGGCGUAAAGCGUGCGCAGGCGGUUCGUUAAGUCAGAUGUGAAAGCCCCGGGCUCAACCUGGGAACUGCAUUUGAAACUGGCGGGCUUGAGUAUGGCAGAGGGGGGUGGAAUUCCGCGUGUAGCAGUGAAAUGCGUAGAGAUGCGGAGGAACACCGAUGGCGAAGGCAGCCCCCUGGGACAAUACUGACGCUCAGGCACGAAAGCGUGGGGAGCAAACAGG
RNAcentral lists this ribosomal RNA (253 nucleotides) under uncultured bacterium. RNAcentral describes it as "partial 16S ribosomal RNA". It matches the Rfam family "Bacterial small subunit ribosomal RNA", at positions 524 to 776 of the family's 1533-position model. The record is from RNAcentral.